UACGUAGGGUGCAAGCGUUAAUCGGAAUUACUGGGCGUAAAGAGCUCGUAGGCGGUCUGUCGCGUCGGCUGUGAAAACUCGGGGCUCAACCCCGAGCCUGCAGUCGAUACGGGCAGACUAGAGUGCGGUAGGGGAGACUGGAAUUCCUGGUGUAGCGGUGAAAUGCGCAGAUAUCAGGAGGAACACCGGUGGCGAAGGCGGGUCUCUGGGCCGUAACUGACGCUGAGGAGCGAAAGCAUGGGGAGCGAACAGG
This 253-nucleotide ribosomal RNA is filed under the name uncultured bacterium. RNAcentral's name for it is "partial 16S ribosomal RNA". It matches the Rfam family "Bacterial small subunit ribosomal RNA", at positions 524 to 776 of the family's 1533-position model. The record is from RNAcentral.